RNAcentral lists this ribosomal RNA (403 nucleotides) under uncultured bacterium. RNAcentral describes it as "bacterial SSU rRNA". It matches the Rfam family "Bacterial small subunit ribosomal RNA", at positions 355 to 774 of the family's 1533-position model. The record is from RNAcentral.
UGAGGGAUAUUGGUCAAUGGGCGCAAGCCUGAACCAGCGGCGCCGCGUGGGUGAAGAAGGUCUUCGGAUCGUAAAGCCCUUUUCCCACUGAAGAGGAAGGACGGUAGGUGGGGAAGAAGUCUCGGCUAACUACGUGCCAGCAGCCGCGGUAAAACGUAGGAGACAAGCGUUAUCCGGAGUUACUGGGCGUAAAGGGCGUGCAGGUGGCGUCUUAAGUCUGUUGUGAAAGCGCCAGGCUUAACCGGGCGAGGCCAAUGGAGACUGAGAGGCUGGAGGACGGCGGAGGGGUGUGGAAUUCCGGGUGUAGUGGUGAAAUGCGUAGAGAUCCGGAGGAACACCAGAGGCGAAGGCGGCACUCUAAGCCGUACCUGACACUGAGACGCGACAGCACGGGGAGCAAACG